This 433-nucleotide ribosomal RNA is filed under the name uncultured bacterium. RNAcentral's name for it is "partial 16S ribosomal RNA". It matches the Rfam family "Bacterial small subunit ribosomal RNA", at positions 29 to 507 of the family's 1533-position model. The record is from RNAcentral.
AACGAACGCUGGCGGCAGGCCUAACACAUGCAAGUCGAGCGAGCAUUUCGGUGCUAGCGGCGGACGGGUGAGUAACGCGUGGGAACGUGCCCUUUUCUGCGGAAUAGUCCUGGGAAACUGGGGGUAAUACCGCAUACGCCCUUUUGGGGAAAGAUUUAUCGGAGAAGGAUCGGCCCGCGUUGGAUUAGGUAGUUGGUGGGGUAAUGGCCCACCAAGCCGACGAUCCAUAGCUGGUUUGAGAGGAUGAUCAGCCACACUGGGACUGAGACACGGCCCAGACUCCUACGGGAGGCAGCAGUGGGGAAUCUUAGACAAUGGGGGCAACCCUGAACUAGCCAUGCCGCGUGAGUGAUGAAGGCCUUAGGGUUGUAAAGCUCUUUCAGCUGGGAAGAUAAUGACGGUACCAGCAGAAGAAGCCCCGGCUAACUCCGUG